Monilinia vaccinii-corymbosi is the source of this 73-nucleotide non-coding RNA. The record is from the annotation of a GenBank genome assembly. Lineage: Eukaryota; Fungi; Ascomycota; Leotiomycetes; Helotiales; Sclerotiniaceae.
GGAUUUGUAGUGUAGCGGUUAUCACGUUUCCUUUACACGGAAAAGGCCCCCGGUUCGAUCCCGGGCAGAUUCA